This 71-nucleotide transfer RNA is filed under the name Loxodonta africana (African savanna elephant). It matches the Rfam family "tRNA". Rfam says of the family: Transfer RNA (tRNA) molecules are approximately 80 nucleotides in length. Their secondary structure includes four short double-helical elements and three loops (D, anti-codon, and T loops). Lineage: Eukaryota; Metazoa; Chordata; Mammalia; Proboscidea; Elephantidae. The record is from Rfam by way of RNAcentral.
GCACUGGUGGUUCAGUGAUAGAAUUCUCACCUUCCAUGCAGGAGGCCUGGGCUCAAUUCCCGACCAAUGUA